Molecule: ribosomal RNA, 915 nt
Filed under: Triticum aestivum (bread wheat)
Lineage: Eukaryota; Viridiplantae; Streptophyta; Magnoliopsida; Poales; Poaceae
Description: partial small subunit ribosomal RNA
Source: RNAcentral
AUGCUGGGAAGAGGGGGCUCUGCAUCGGUGUAUCGGGGCAAAUUGACCAAUCCAGACAAACUAGUGGCGAUAAAGAGGUUCAAUGGGCAAGCAUCAGACACCGAAAAGGGGUUGUUCCAGGCUGAAAUCAAGGCCAUCAGUGGACUGAGGCAUCGAAACCUGGUAGAGUUAGUAGGCUGGUGCAAUGAUGUCGGCAACAACCAUCUCUUGCUAGUUUACGAGCUUGUAUCACAGGGUAGCCUCGCCGAACACUUGCAUGGGGACAAGAGCUGGUUGUCAUGGCCCAAGAGGUACAGGAUCAUCCUUGACACAGGGUGUGCCUUAGAAUACAUCCACAAACAAUGCAAUGAUUGUGUCUUGCACGGUGACAUUAAACCUUGUAACAUAUUGCUCGACGAAAGGUAUCAAGCUAAGAUUACAGACUUCGGUUUGGCAAGGCUGAUUGAUCACGAAACACAGCAAAAGACGACACAAUAUCCAGCCGGGACCCCAGGGUAUAUAGACCCGGAAUUUUUGGAAACGGGCAAGCGGAGUAGGGAGUCAGAUGUCUACAGCUUUGGCAUCGUUUUGCUGGAGAUUGUUUCAGGCCGGCGUCCAGCUGGCAGCCGAUUGCUAACAGAGGUAAGGAAUCGGCACCGCAGACAUGCGAUCAAUGAAGCAAUAUACCCACGGCUGCUGGACGAGUCAACCAGCAGGGAUCACGACGAACGCAAGAUGGAGCGUGUGCUGCUCAUCGGGCUCUGGUGCACACACCCCGACCCAACCAAGCGUCCACUCAUCAUAGAAGCCAUGAAGACACUCGAAUCAGAUGAUGAGAAUUUGGAGAUCCCUGCACUGCCGCAUCAUGUGGCCGAGCCAUUAGGUCACAGCGCCUCCUCAAGUGAGACUUCUAGCGUGCACGCCUCCACAGCUCAU